RNAcentral lists this ribosomal RNA (37 nucleotides) under Cyrtanthus wellandii. RNAcentral's name for it is "partial 5.8S ribosomal RNA". The record is from RNAcentral. Lineage: Eukaryota; Viridiplantae; Streptophyta; Magnoliopsida; Asparagales; Amaryllidaceae.
GACUAUCUGCCAAGGGCAUGCCUGCCUGGGCGUCACG